RNAcentral lists this long non-coding RNA (2624 nucleotides) under Rattus norvegicus (Norway rat). RNAcentral describes it as "long non-coding RNA NONRATT000902". Lineage: Eukaryota; Metazoa; Chordata; Mammalia; Rodentia; Muridae. The record is from RNAcentral.
GGUCUCCUCCAGGAAGUAGUAAAGACUCCAGAAACAACCCUUUCUCUUCUCCCUGCUCCCAUGAGUAACUGCAUUUGCUUUUGUAAUUCUUAAUGAGCAAUAUCUGCUAGAAAGUUUAGCUGUAACAGUUCUUUUUGCAAAAGAAUCAUUCUUAAAUAAUUAAAAGCACCCCCCCCCAAAAAAAGUCCAGAACCUUCCAAAGCAGAGAGCAUUAUAAUCACCAGAGCCAAAAUCUGUCCCACACCUCUACCACGUCCCCUCAUUAUUGCUUCUUCUGAGGCCAGAACACAGCAGAGAUAUUUGUAGGCCCUUUGGGUGGCUGAGCUACCCUUGGAGCUCUUGAAAGAUGAGCUGGGGAAGCCUCUGAGACCCUAUCCUAGGGUCUUGUUCUAGAGAGUAAUCAGUAUUAGUAGAGCAUCACAACAUUAUUCCCCAGCCUGCAUGGGAUGGGAGCAGAAGAGGCCAAAGGGUUGUCGUCAACGGCUACUUGGCCACUGACAGGUAGGUGACCAUGUAUGUCCAAGCAUGCUUUAUGGAUUAUGUGUGAUCAGCACCCAAGUUAGCUUCAUCUGGUGACCUCUAACCCUGCCUGGAUGGAGCAGGCUACCUGGUUCAAGGUUUCUGGGCAGCUGGACAAUGGAGUGCAAAAGGCUUGCAGAACUUGAAGCCUUUUCCUUACCUUGCUAGCACGUUUCCAUUUGAUUUGUCACUGCUUCAAUCAAUAACAGACGCUCCAGAGUCAGUAGUUGAUGAAUAUAUGACCAAAUAUCACCAGGACUGUUACUCAAUGUGUGCCGAGCCCUUGUGCUGGGCUCCCUGUGUACCUGGACACUGUAAUGUGUGCUGUGUUUGCUCUCCUUCCUCUUCUUUCCUUGCCCUUUCCUUGUCUUUCUGGGGUUUUUCUGUUUGGGUUUGGUUUGGUUUUAUUCUUCCUUUUGUGUUCCAAACAUGAGGUUCUCUCUACUGGUCCUCUUUAACUGUGGUGUUGAGGCUUCUAUUUGUGUAAUUUUUGGUGGGUGAAAGGAACUUUGCUAAGUAAAUCUCUUCUGUGUUUGAAAUGAAGUCUGUAUUGUAACUAUGUUUAAAGUAAUUGUUCCAGAGACAAAUGCUUCUAGGUACAUUUUUAUUACAAACGAAGCAUUGGAAGGGAGGGGGUGGUGAAUAAGACAAGAGGGGCAAUCUGAAGAGAUGACCCCUGCCCAGAUCAGCCAGAAGCUAUCAUAAGUUAAGCACUGGAUUUCCAUUCCAAGUCAAGAGACUGAAGCUGAUGUGUUGCCAUUUUCAAAGUCAAAGCAAAACCAGCUAGCUUUUCAACCCAGUGGAUUCUUUGCUUCCCCUUCCCAGAUUAUUACUACUAUUGUAAUAAUCUAGGAGUGCCAGGAGAGAAAGGGAUAUGAGAGCAGAGCUGAGCUCACUGAGUAUGGAAAGUCUUGGCCUGAGUUUUCAGGAGGAUGCUCCACUGUGGACACAGGGAGACGACAGAAGAUGAAUUAGCCUCUCCCUGUCUGAAAUACCUCUUAAUAGAUAAGCCAAGGCCAUGAACAUUAUUGUCUCCAAGGCAUAACCAGUCAGGACACUUGUGUCAAACACUAUGAUGUCCCCUAGUGCAUAGUAAUAAUCUGAUAUCUCUGCUCCCACCAUGCCUGGGGGAUAAAAUGAUAGCAGAGACUUCUCUCCUUUGAUGCUAUCUGAUUCCCAACAAAAUCUUGACAUGAGAUACCACCUUCUCUUCCUAUGGCAAACAUCUUCAGUAAAGUGUUAUCCUCAUUACAGAUUGUUCCAGGCUCUUGUAGAGGAACAGAUCUGUGCUCCCUUGUACCCUCAUGUGAGGACAGUGCUACCUGUAGUGACCAGUUGGCUAUGGUAGUUAUUAGCUGGAAGAUCCAGACAGGGUACAUCCCCCUCCUAAAUCCAUGUUGUACUUCUGUCUGCCAGCCUGGGGGGUUGGGGGGAAGCGAGAUCUAUAGGAUAAUGCGGCCAGUGACAAGCCACCCUGUAUUUGGCACCAGCUCAAAAACCCAUCUAAGGUUGGGACAGACAAGGCAGAGAGAAAGAUUCAGGACAGAUAUAGCUGGAGGGGUCUUGAAAAGCCCUCUGUGGUAUUCACCUUCAGUUUUUGUGCUUUGGGACAAUUACUUUAAAAAAUAAGUAGGUCGUUUUAAAUACAAAAUAUUGAUUGCUUUUUUGUAGUGUUCAAAACAAAAGGUUCUUUGUGUAUAGCCAAAUGACUGAAAGCACUGAUAUAUUUAAAAACAAAAGGCAAUUUAUUAAGGAAAUUUGUACCAUUUCAGUAAACCUGUCUGAAUGUACCUGUAUACGUUUCAAAAACACACCCCACUGAACCCCUGUAACCUAUUUAUUAUAUAAAGAGUUUGCCUUAUAAAUUUACAUAAAAAUGUCCGUUUGUGUCUUUUGUUGUAAAAUCAAGUGGUUUUUCAUAAGGUUCUUUUACUAUUUGAAAAGAUGGGCAGCACGCAGUUUCAUUUUAUUUUUGUAAGUUUUUUAAUACAUGUGAAAGCAAAGAAUACUCAGCAUGCCUUUCUAAGUGAUGCGUUUGCACCUUUUGUUGGGAAGUACUGUAUCCUGUGCUGUUAGCAUUCUCGAUAAAUCUCUCUGUGAAAGUG